This 208-nucleotide ribosomal RNA is filed under the name uncultured bacterium. Its description in RNAcentral is "partial 16S ribosomal RNA". It matches the Rfam family "Bacterial small subunit ribosomal RNA", at positions 568 to 774 of the family's 1533-position model. The record is from RNAcentral.
AGCGCAGACGGUUAUUUAAGCAAGAUGUGAAAGCCCCGGGCUCAACCUGGGAACUGCGUUUUGAACUGGGUAACUAGAGUGUGUCAGAGGGGGGUAGGAAUUCCACGUGUAGCAGUGAAAUGCGUAGAGAUGUGGAGGAAUACCGAUGGCGAAGGCAGCCCCCUGGGAUAACAUUGACGUUCAUGCUCGAAAGCGUGGGUAGCAAACA